GUUACAGUCACUUGUGGAAAUUUGUUACGGCCAAUGCAUGAAAUUACGUUUUCAACUGAUGACAAGCCCAAGCUCCUCAGCCAGUUAACUUCAUUACUAGCCGAGCUUGGGCUGAACAUCCAGGAAGCACAUGUAUUUUCCUCAAUUGAUGGCUACUCCCUAGAUGUUUUCGUUGUUGAUGGUUGGCCCUAUGAGGAAAUUGAGCAGCUUCGAAUGGCACUGAAAAGGGAAAUUCUGAAGAUUGAGAAGUCUUCACCUAGUCAAAGUCCAUCAGAAUCUUUUAGAAAGGAGGACAAAACACUCAUCAAAUGUGAACUUGAUCCUGUGACAAUACCUUGUGAUGGUGUUGAUGUCUGGGAAAUUGAUCAUCAGCUUCUCAACUUUGGCAACAAGAUUGCUUCUGG
Molecule: unclassified non-coding RNA, 404 nt
Filed under: Hevea brasiliensis (rubber tree)
Lineage: Eukaryota; Viridiplantae; Streptophyta; Magnoliopsida; Malpighiales; Euphorbiaceae
Source: RNAcentral